CAUGAAAUCCUGGGUGAACUCUUCAAGAGUGGAAUCUCUAUUUCCCCCAAUCCCAUGGAGCUCCUGUGCACAAGCCCUGCUGGCCUUCAAUUCCAAAUGCUCUGGGGCUUCUCUUCACAAUGCCAGACCCCCAGUCAUGGGAACAUGAUUUGGGACUCAGAACUCUCACUCCUAUGGGUGACCCUCUGCAAUAUACUUAUUUUAUGUCUGCGGGUUGCCCAUACAGUGGGUAUGAGCUUGCUUAUAUUGUGUUAGCACCCCUCCAACUGUCUCAGUGUUGCUUCUUUGGUUUUUGGUGCAGGAUAUCUUUUUUGGUAGUUUCCAGUCUACUCUGCUGAUGGUUGUUCAGCAGUUGGUUGUAAUUUUGUUGUUUUUGUAAGAGAAGGUAAGCUCCAGUCUUUCUACUCCACCAACUUAUUCUUGUCUCUCUUCUCUACUUAUUCAAAAUAAUCAUUGCAUAAUUCAUGUUAUCAAAUACAGUGAUGAGUAUGAGGACAGGAGAAGAUAAAGGGAAUUAAAACAAUUUGGUAGAGAAAUAUAUUUUUGGUUUUACAGAGAUGUAAUACAUUCAUUCCUUCAUACACCUGUGACCUUUUGAAAUGUCAAGACAUUGAGAAAAUACUCUUAUCAGUUUCCUCUUUUAAAAGUACAUUAUUCAAGAAUAUGCAAAUUUGUCCAAAGAUAUAGCUAUAAUGAAAAGCCAUUUUUUCAUAGAUAGUAGACAUUUAAUUAAUAACCAGUGAACUAUAAGGAUCCCUUUAAAUAAUUGAUAGGAGUUAAAGUUUUAUAUUCUUGGAGAAAAUGUAGCACAAAUUGGUUUUGAUGGGUUAGAUGACCCUGUAAAUGACGCCAUGCGACUAUUGUACUUAGGAAAAGCUUUCUCCCUUUUUUUUUUCAUCCCUUUGGAUAUAAUAAUUACCCCUUCCCACUUUUGACCUCUGGCUUUAACAUAAAAAUAAUCUACAAAACAGGGUUGGUGUUGACUCUUUGUUUCUCUUUUCUUUUCUUUUCUUUUUUAGUUGGAUGGUUUCCAUUUGUUUUAUGCUUGAGUACUUUUCUUUUUAGUUUUUGUGAAUGUAAUGUUUGGUUUUGAUUUGUGGUUGCCCUGUUUUUUAAGUAUGUUAACCCCUUCCUUUAUCUGCUUAGUUUAGCCUGAUAGUCAUAUAGAUUCAAACACAUCAUUAAAAUAAAAAAUAUAUAUUUUCUUACUUUCUUUCCCCACAAUCUACGAUUUUGAUGUCUUUCUUUUUCAACAUUUUCAUGUUUAGAUCUUUAUGUGGGCUUAUUUAAGUGAUUGCUUUCCAAUUGUGGUUUCCUCCAUCCUAAUUCUUAAUUUUUUUUUUUUAAUUUAGAGGAGCCAUUUCAGCAUUUCUUUUAGAAUGGGUUUAAUAUUGCUAUACUCUUUUAGCUUUUGUUUGUUGGAGAAAUACUUUAUUUCCCCUUCUAUUUUAAAUGAUAUUCUUGUUGAAUAGAGUAUUCUAGGUUGCAGAUUUUAUCCUUUCAGCACUUUAAAUAUAUCUUGCCACUGCCUUCUCGUCUGUAGUGUUUCUGUAGAGAAAUCAGCUGAUAUCCUUAUGGGAGUUCCCUUAUAAAUAACGCUUUGCUUUCCUCUUGUUGCCUUUAGAAUCCUCCCUUUAACUAUUGCCAUUUUUAUUAUAAUAUGUCUUGGUGUGGGCCUGUUUGGUUUCAACUUGCUUGGGGCCCUCUGUGCUUCCUAUAUCUUGAACUCAGUACCCUUUAGAUUUAGAAAGUUUUCAGCCAUAACUUUUUCAAAUAUAUUUUCAAUACCCUUUUAUUUUUCUUUCCCUUCUGGAAUUCCUAUUAUGUGUAGAUUGGCCUGCUUUACAUUAUCCCAUAUGUCUCUUAUAUUGCUUUCAUGUCUUUUUAUUUGGUUUUCUGUACGCUGUCCUGAUUGGGUGUCACUAAUUCAUUCCUCUGCAUUAUUCAUUCUGGUCUUUAUUGACUUUAGCUCAGUUUGCAUCUCUGCAAAUGAAUGUUCUAGUUUUUCUUGGCUCCUCCUUAUAUUUUCUAGUUCCUUUCUAGAGGAAUCUGCAUUACUGUUCAUAUCCUCUCUUAAUUCCUUCAGUAUUUUCACUAUCUCCCUUUUGAACUCAUGUCUGUCAGAUUGCAGAAGUCUGUUUCAUUGUUGACUGCUUUAGGUGAAUUCCCCUGUUCCUUUAACUGUGAAUGGUAUCUGAGCUUAUUAUUCUUGCUUGUGUUUUCCUUUUUCUGUGAAUUUGGGGAAGCCAAACUGUAGUCUUGUAAGGCUAUUUCUAUGCCAGAGUACCUCUUUGUAUUUUUUGGUGGGUUACUAUUUAUUUUUGGUGUGGGAAUUUGAAUAUUUGCUGUCUCUUUCUUCAGUGUGAGUAGGCUGUUGUUCCCAGGAUGCUCAGUGAGUUUUCAGGGAGAGGGAGGCAAUGGGUAGGGCCAGCAGUCAGCACCUGGUUGUUGGGCUCUCAACAGCAGGAAGGACCUGCAGGAAGGUGGCACAAGCUACUCCUAUUUACAGGACACUGGGAAGUGGUAAUGAACUCUCGGCAGAUCUACAAGGUGACCAAAGAAUUUGGCAGUAGCAGCAGCAGCGUGCAUGAGUUCCCAGAGGAGUGAGAGCAGCAACAGCUUGUGCUGGAUUGCAAUGCCCUCCUCUGAGGUGAUUGGAACUACAGGUGGUACCCGUUCAGUGACCCCUAGUGGUAGCAGGCCAUGACUGCCUCUGGAGUCAGUGAUAGCUGUGGUGGUUUGCCCCCACCACCUGUAGACCCAUCUGACUUAGGAGGUGCUGUACAGGCUGCUCCUACUUGCAGGAUUCUGGGAAGUGACAGAGAUCAGGUGUGCAGGUAUUGCCCAGAGCAAUUGGCAGUGUCAGUAGCAGGGCGGUUGUGUUCCCAGGAGUACAAGAGUACCAACAGGUGGUGUUCAGUCACAAUGCCCUCCUCUGUGGUGCGCCUGAAGUGAAUGGGGCUGCAAGUGGUGUCUGUUUAUGGACCCCUGGUGGUGGUGAGCCACUCCCACCUCUGGAUCCAGAGAUAACUGUGGUGAUUUGCCCUCACCUCCUGUAGACCAUGCCAAAAGCACCUUGUCCUGCUUAGUCCCCACAGGAGGUGCUGCACAAGCUGCUCCUAGUUGCAGGUUUCUGGGAAGGGAAAUAUCAAAUUAUAUUAGAGUACCAGAUGUGCAUUUGGUGUUCAUUAGAAUAAGAAAAUGAUGAAUUUUUCCUGUAAAGUUUUUAAUUGUUUCUUGAAUUUCAAUGAGAAAAUAUUCAUUUACUUGCCAAUAAAUGCCCUGUAAAAAAAAAAUCUAAAUUUUAUAUCAAAACAGAAGUUGAUAAAGGAGGAAAAUAUUACAUUUUUUCACAAAUGUUUUGUAAAAUAUACUGAUGCAUGUAUGUUUUAGUAAUACUGCUAUAUCAAGAACUUGACUAGAACCUUGUACUAAAAGCUGGAAUGUUAUACUAAUUUUGCUUAACUUAAAAGAAAACAUUUAUUUCAUAAUGAAGUAAGAGAUAAAAUCAAAGAAUUCCAGUUGCUCAAAUUCAGCUAUUACUGACCCUACAAUUUUCUUAAAACUAUUAACCUAGAAAAGUAGUAUAUUUUCAGAGUCAAAGUAAUAUUCAAUUAUAUUCCAAUUCCAGAUAUAUUACAUAUGUAUAUAUUUUGCCAUUAAAUAGACUUUGUGGAAAACAUAGUCUAAUAUAGUCCACCAUCAUCUCUCCCUUGUGUUCAAAUCAUAGUGUAAUCCACUCUCCCUGAGCAUGGGUGGGACCUGUGACUUGCCUCUAGUGAAGAGAAUAUGACAGAAGUGUGGAACUGUCACUCCCAAGAUUACAUUAUGUGAGCAGCUUCUAGCAUCAGAGGGCAGAUUCCAGUCAAUAGCUAGCAAGAAUGUGGGACCAACAGUCCUACAAAAGCAAAGAAAUUAAUUCUGACAACACCCAAAGGGAGAUUGAAAGUGGAUUUUUUUCCCCAUUUGUUCCUCUAACUAGCUGAUAUCUUGAUUGCAUCUUUGUGAGACUUUAAGGAGAAGACCUACUAAACAACACCCAGAUUCCUGGCCUGCAGAAAUUGUAAGCUAAUAAAUGUGCAUUGAUUUCAGUUGCAAAGUGUGUGGUUAUUUGUUUUGAAUCAAAAGGAAUAAUAAAAAACUAAACAAAAUAAUUAAAUAAAAAUUUCUAUACUGCUGGCUUUUGGCAAUCUACUGAGCAAAUGUGUGCUACUUUUUUUUUUUUUUUUGAAAAGAGUUAAGCAUUUUACUCACUUGCUCAAAUAACAUCUAUGAAUUUCAGCCCACGACUGAUUUACAAAACAUCUGUACUACAUGGCCAUAAAUAAGCAAAUACCACACAUGCAUUCUUAACAAAACUUUUCUGCUUCUAUUUAGCAUCUUAAUAUAUAGGAGAAAAGAUUAACACUUUUUCAUAAAAACUUAAGCUGCAUUAGGAGAGCAAAUUAUGCUUUACUUUUCAAUAUUACAGUACGUUUUUCUCUAUUAACUUGGGCUUUGACUGGUUAUUUCUGAAAUAUAGUCUGUGAUUUUUAGAAAGCUCUCUAAUUCUUAUUAAGGAAAUAAUAAAUCUCUAUGUUAUCACUACUUUAAUUUUUAAAGUCAGUGCUCCAUAGAAAUGUAUUAAAAGUAAAGACGUUUAAAUUAGUCUGGGAUCAUUCUUUCCUUGAUGCCAUUUGCUUAUUGUAACUAGCAUAAAUGAAAAUCCAGAAGUACUGCCACACUUUGUAAAUGUAGCAUAUUGUAGUGUCCUUCCAAAAUCAUUUUUAAUGGGGAUACAUUUUAUAGAAACUGCACAAACUUUUUAAGUUUUAAAAAGAAAACUUUUCAAAGUUUCUGAAAACAGAAAAAUAAGUAGUUUUAAUAUAUUAAAAUUUCUUAAAGCACUAGAGACUGAUAAGAAUGCUUCUAAUAUCACCAUCUUCCCAAACCCUAGUUCCAGAGCUUUAGCUGAGGUGAUUGUGUUUUUUUUUUUUUUUUUUUCCCUAUUGCAUUAUGGAGUUUGUUUUCAAGACACCAAACAAAUUUUAAUGUUCAUCACUGUACCCUAUUUCCUUUUACCUAAAUGCCCUUUAUUACAAAAUGGAUCCGUUUUAUUUUAAUGUUUUGGGUAGCAAAAGCAUAAAUCUGAAUACCACUCCUCUCUUCACUCACUGUUCCUUCAUUCUCAGCAUAGAUGAGCCAGGAUUUAGGCACCACACCAGGAUUUACUGCUUCAAAAACAUGGGUUUGUUCUAACCAUGUAAUAGCACACAGGAAAAAGCAAGCAAGUAUAAAAUAUUAUUCACUUAUGUCUUAUGAACCCAGGAAGGAAUUAUGAUAAACAAAACUUUAUUUAGAAUCAGAUAGACCUACAUAUAAAUCAUCUUACAACCAUACUAAUUGUGUUACCUGGAAAAUUGACAUAUCACUAUUAUCCCCCUUAACAUAUUUGUCGUGAAAUGUAAACAAGAAAAUCAGAAAACCUAUUUAAAAUUGCUUACAUAUUAUAAAGAAUCAUUAUUUUAUGAGUUCCUGUCAUGGCUCAGUGGGUUAAGAACCUGAUACAUAUCCAUGAGGAUGAGGGUUCAAUCUCUGGCCUCACUCAGAGUGUCAAGGAUCUGGCAUUGCUGCAAACUGAAGCAUAGGAUCUGGAUGCAGCUUGGAUCUGGUGUUGCUGUUGCUGUGGCUGUGAUUCAACCCCUAGCCUGGGAACUUCCAUAAGCCACAGGUGCAGCCCUAAAAAGAUAGAAAAAAUAUGUUAUAUAACUAUAUACCCUUAUGUUAUAUAACUAUAUACCCUUUAUGUUAUAUAACUAUAUACCCUUAAGUCAAAUGUAGAGAUAAAGAACUGUGUUUUCCUAUUUAAUAAAGUCAGUAUUUUAUUUCCUGUAGCUCUAUCAGCUGCAUCUCAAGCUAUCUUUUCCUCCUUAAUUUGUCCAUUAAGGAACAUUCUCAUAGAGUGUUACUUAUCAAGUCUAUUCAAAUUAUAGAAUUUAUUUGCCUUUUAGGAUAUCUUUCCCUGUUUCCAUACCACUGAACAUAGUACAAGCAAGAGACACCUCAGUAAUUUUCCUAGGUUUCCUAUGUACUCCUUCCUGUUCUUUAUUGUGUAGUAGAAGUCAAAAUACUCAUGGUAAUCAGUGUCAAUCAUCCCUAUAAAUUUGAUAUUUUUUUCUUAUGUGCUGGUAAGAGCAUAAACUGAUCAUUUUCAUUUCAAGUUAAGAAGAACCUUUAAAUGUGUCUCCUGAUAAGAGUGCCUCUCAGGAGUUCCCAUUGUGAUGCAGUGGAAAUGAAUAUGACUAGUAUCCAUGAGGAUGUGGGUUUGAUCCCUGGCCUUGUUCUGUGGGUCAGGAAUCCAGCAUUGCCAUGGGCUGUGGUGUGACAGGUGCAGCUCAGAUCCUGCAUUGGUGUGGAUGUUGGGUAGGUCAGCAGCUAUAGCUCCAAUUUGAUCCCUAACCUGGGAACUUCCAUAUACCACAAGUGCAGCCCUAAAAAAAAAAAAAAAAAAAAAAAAAAAAAAAAAA
This 6506-nucleotide long non-coding RNA is filed under the name Sus scrofa (pig). Its description in RNAcentral is "lncRNA (ENSSSCG00015010682.1)". The record is from RNAcentral. Lineage: Eukaryota; Metazoa; Chordata; Mammalia; Artiodactyla; Suidae.